GAAGUUUGCAUCAAAGACUGUAGAGAAGGUUCAAGAUAUUGGUGAGGAUGCAUAUGAUGUGGCCACAGGCAAAGGGGUUGAAACUAAAUGUAAAGGGAGGGUUAAGAGACCCAAGACUGAUUCAAAGAUAAAAAUGGUUGGGGCUCAUUUUUCCUGUGACAAUGAUUCAAAGGGUACGGGGUCUUUGGGUGAUUCAUUGGAGGAUCGCAAAGAGCAAGAAUUGUGGCCUGGGGAGGGUUCCAAUCUGUCUUUGGAUGAAAAGAUGGCUGACUCGUUAUCUGCCCCUUUUCAGAGGACACAAUCUGGAUUAAUCAGGAAAUCUCACAUGAAUUCUGGUUUGAAAAAGAAUGGUAGGGAUCGAAACUUUGAUGAAGGAUGUAGCCCUAGCUUUGACGGUGAUUUGAAGCCUGUGAGGAGAUCUCAGUCUGUUUCAACCACAAAAGUGAGACAGAAAAUUUUGAAUUUCAAUGAUAAUUCACAUCUUGUUUCUGAUUUGAGUAAAUUGGAAUUAACGUCCCAGCAGUGUAAGAAAAUUGAACCUAUGGCAGACACUAGUGGUUUGAAUAUUCAAGAAGAAGCUAUUUUGAAUACUUGUACAAAUAAUGUUUGUGAUAUCAGUGGCAACGAGAAUGUUUGUGUCCAUGGGGUUGAUGGUUCUGGCUUUAGCCAACGGGCUAGUUCUGGAACUCAAUCUUUGAAGGUUGGGUUAAAGCUUUGUUCUAUGGAUAAGGCAAGCACUUUGGCCCCUGAUGAUCAAGAAAUGCCCUUUUGUGCCUCUUCCCUGGAGCAGAUGGAAGAAUUUUACAAGUGUGAGGGUGAGUACAAGAGAGUUUUUUCUGAUGCAUUGAGGCAACAUUCAAGGAAUGCUUCAGCAAUAGACAAUUCAAGUUCAGACCGCAAAGUUUCCUCUUCAAUUGGAAAAGAAGUUUCAGUGGCUUGUGUAGAUGAUGAGUUAACAGACAAAUCUUGUAAAUCUAAAUCCUUGAAGGUUAGCAAAACUGGUAGUGAUUCCAAUACCGCUCUUGGGGAGGCAGGUCUUGCUGCCAUUUCUUCAAAAGGGGAACAUGAUUUAGUAUCUAAUGGUAGGUUAUCUCUAACAACUGAAAUGUCAUGUGGACACCGGGAAUCUGGAUUUGCUUUUCAGAAGCGUAGCUCUGGUUUCUAUCCAGAUCAACCUUCUGAUGCAUCUAAGGGGCCUUGUGUUCCAGGUCAUGAUCCUCUUUCUAUUGGUGAAGAGGCUAACAGAGAUUCUCCUUCUUCUGUGACUCUUGAUGAAAAUGGAAGUUCUCCGGAAGAUGCAGUGUCUAUACCUGAUUCUGAAAACAAAGACAAUAAAUUAUCUGCUGUUCAACGUGCUGCUCGCAUUGCUAAAAAGCGUAGGCAUGGAGACAUGGCUUAUGAAGGGGAUGCUGAUUGGGAGAAUUUGAUAAAUGAGCAAGGUUUUCUUGAAAAUCACCAGGUUGUAGACUGUCACCGGUCUUUAAGAGGAAGAGACAAGUUUGAUUCAUCUUCAAAUAUUCUUACUGUUGCUGAUAAUGGUGGGGCUGCAACAGUGUCAGCAGGGCUGAAAGCUCGUGCUGCUGGUCCAAUCGAGAAAAUUAAAUUUAAAGAAGUCUUGAAGCGCAGAGGUGGGCUUCAGGAAUACUUGGAAUGCAGGAACCAGAUCUUAAGUCUUUGGAGUAGGGAUGUUAGCAGAAUUUUGCCACUCACGGAGUGUGGGGUCACUGAUACCCCUUCUGAGGAUGAACCGUCUCGUGCUUCAUUAAUUAGGGAGAUCUAUACGUUUCUUGAUCAGAGUGGGUACAUAAAUGUUGGUAUUGCUUCUAAGAAGGAAAAAGCAAAUCAUAUAGCAAAGCAUGGCUAUAAACUUUUCAAAGAAGAAAAACUUGAGGGAAGUUCUGGGGCCUCUGUUGCUGAUUCAGAGGAUGGAGUUGGUUUCAUCCUUGGUCAGGUUAAGCAUUCUGAAACUUCUGUGGAGGCCAAAAAUGGUGAUAUAUCGGAUGAUGGGAACCAGAUGGUAAAAGUGAAAAAGGGCAGUUUGGUUAGCCCAGAAUUACCUAAUGUGACAGAACACAAAGUAUGCCCAAUUGUUGAGUGCCUACAAAAUGGUAGCACUGAUGCACCUGACAUAUUGGUUAAUGUCAACGUUUUGAGGGCUGAUCCAUCUUCCAAAAUGGUUGAUGGUGGAAAAGAUCCAAUUCUAAUUGAAGUGACCAAUGAUUCACAGAGUGUUAAAUCUGGCUGUCAUGAUGUUACUUGGGGCAGCCAACAUGUGCAGUGUGAUUCAGAAAUCAGAAAGAAAAUCAUUAUCAUUGGGGCAGGUCCUGCUGGUUUAACUGCUGCUCGCCAUUUGCAACGUCAGGGUUUCUCUGUAAUUUUACUUGAGGCUAGAAAUAGGAUCGGUGGUCGUGUUUAUACAGAUCACACAUCUCUCUCAGUUCCUGUGGAUCUUGGGGCAAGCAUAAUUACAGGUGUUGAGGCUGAUGUGGCCACUGAAAGAAGACCUGAUCCUUCCUCACUGAUUUGUGCUCAGUUGGGCCUAGAGUUGACUGUAUUGAAUAGUGACUGCCCUCUUUAUGAUAUUAUUUCUGGUCAAAAAGUUCCUUCAGGUCUGGAUGAAGCUCUGGAAGCAGAGUACAACAGCCUUCUUGAUGACAUGGUAUUGCUUGUUGCUCAGAAGGGGGAACAUGCUAUGAAAAUGUCUCUUGAGGAGGGUUUGGAAUAUGCUCUUAAAAGGCGUCGAAUGGCACGAUUAGGAAGAGAUUUCGAAGACAUUUAUCUGCACAAUUCAAUGGAUGCUUAUUCUAAAGCCAGUGGUGUUGACAGCAGAGUUCAUGGUGGAAAUUGUUUUGAAGAAGAUGCACUAAGUCCUCUUGAAAGAAGGGUUAUGAAUUGGCACUUUGCCAACUUAGAAUAUGGUUGUGCUGCUUUGCUUAAGGAAGUAUCUCUUCCCUUCUGGAAUCAAGAUGAUGUUUAUGGAGGAUUUGGAGGAGCCCAUUGCAUGAUCAAGGGUGGUUACAGUGCUGUUGUUGAGUCUCUUGCAGACGAACUUCUUAUACAUUUCAACCAUGUAGUCACAGAUAUCUCAUAUAGUUCAAAGGACUCUAAAGUAAGUGAUGGUCAGUCCAAAGUCAAAGUUGCCACAGCAAAUGGCAGUGAAUUCUGGGGAGAUGCUGUGCUUAUUACUGUUCCACUUGGGUGCUUGAAAGCAGAAAGUAUAAAGUUUUUUCCCCCGUUACCCCAAUGGAAGUCCUUGGCCAUCCAGCGGCUUGGUUUUGGAGUUCUUAAUAAAGUAGUGCUGGAAUUUUCAGAGGUCUUUUGGGAUGACUCUGUGGACUAUUUUGGAGCAACUGCUGAAGAAACUGAUUUGAGGGGGUGGUGCUUUAUGUUUUGGAAUGUCAGAAAAACGGUUGGGGCACCUGUUCUUAUAGCUUUAGUGGUUGGUAAGGCAGCUAUUGAUGGUCAAAAUAUGAGUUCAUCUGACCAUGUAAACCAUGCAGUCCAGGCUCUUCGAAAAAUUUUUGGGGAGGCUUCAGUACCAGAUCCAGUUGCAUCAGUUGUGACUGAUUGGGGCAGAGAUCCUUUCAGCUAUGGUGCAUACUCAUGUGUAGCUGUUGGAGCAUCUGGAGAGGACUAUGAUAUAUUGGGCAGGCCCGUUGAGAACUCUUUAUUUUUUGCUGGUGAGGCCACCUGCAAGGAACAUCCUGACACUGUUGGUGGUGCAAUGUUGAGUGGGCUUAGAGAGGCUGUGCGUAUUGUUGACAUAUUUACCACUGGAAAUGAUUAUACUGCUGAAGUAGAGGCAAUGGAGGCUGCACAGAGACAAUCAGAGUCUGAAGGAGAUGAAGUUAUGGACAUAGUGAGGAGACUUAAAGCUGUUGAGCACUCCAAUGUCUUCUACAAGAACUCUUUUGCUCAGGCCCUUAUUCAGACCAGGGAAUCCUUGCUAGAGGAUAUGUUCUUUAAGGCAAAAACUACUGCAGGGCGGUUACAUUUAGCCAAAGAGUUGCUGAAUCUUCCUGUUUCAGUCCUGAAAUCAUUUGCUGGGACCAAGGAAGGGCUUACCAUGCUCAACUCUUGGAUACUGGACUCAAUGGGGAAGGAUGGUACUCAGCUUUUACGUCAUUGUGUUCGUCUUCUUGUGCUGGUUUCUACUGAUCUACAUGCAGUGCGUCUGUCAGGCAUUGGGAAAACUGUCAAAGAAAAAGUUUGCGUACAUACUAGCCGUGAUAUACGUGCCAUAGCAAGUCAGUUGGUUAAUGUGUGGCUUGAAGUCUUCCGGAAAGGAAAAAAUUCCAGUGUUGGAGUAAAGUUUUCCAGGCAAUCAAAUGCAGUAGAUCCUUUCAAGAGAAAAUCUCUUAAAGAUCCAGCUUCAGGCAAGCCACCUCUGCAUUCAAAUCAUAGUGGUUUGGAACAUAAAGGAUCUGCAGGAAGCCAUUUGAUUUCUGGUGCAAACAUGAGGAGAGAGAAUGACAGACUAGAUACUGAAGUGGAGGACAGAAAUUUUGCCAUGUCUGAAGAAGAACAGGCUGCUUUUGCUGCAGCUGAAGCUGCUCGAGCAGCAGCUGAAGCGGCUGCUCGAGCUGCAGCUGAGGCAGCUGCUAAGGCAUUUGCAUCCUCGGGGCCACAGCUCCCCAAUAUACCUUCCUUCCACAAAUUUGCUAGACGGGACCAAUAUGGGCAGAUGGAUGAAUUUGAUCUUAGAAGGAAGUGGUCUGGUGGUGUUUUAGGAAGACAGGAUUGUAUAUCAGAGAUAGAUUCCAGGAACUGCAGAGUGAGGGAUUGGUCCGUUGAUUUCUCCACUGCUUGUGUUAAUUUUGACAAUUCAAAAACUGCUGACAACCUCUCACAGCGGAGCCAUUCAAAUGAGAUUGCAUGUCAGUUGAACUUGAGAGAGCACUCUGGAGAAAGUGCUGCUGCUGCAGACAGCAGUAUCUUUACAAAAGCAUGGGUUGAUACUGCUGGGAGUGUGGGAAUAAAAGACUAUCAUGCAAUUGAGAGGUGGCAAUCUCAAGCAGCUGCAGCUGAUUCUGAUUUCUUCCAUCCAGCCAUGCAUGUAAAGGAUGAGGAAGAAUCAAACACAAGUUCUAAACCACGCACCUGGAAGCAUGAUAGACAAGCAAAUGGGAGCUCUGUUUCACAAGUUACAAUAAACAAUGAGUCACUUGAAAAUCGUCCUCGAGGGGCAGAUCAUAUAAAACAGGCAGUUGUGGAUUACGUUGCAUCAUUGCUCAUGCCCCUUUAUAAGGCAAGGAAAAUUGAUAGGGAUGGAUAUAAGACAAUAAUGAAAAAGAGUGCAACAAAGGUGAUGGAGCAGGCCACAGAUGCUGAGAAAAACAUGGCUGUUUCUGAGUUUCUUGAUUCCAAGCGCAAGAAUAAGAUUCGGUCCUUUGUCGACAAAUUGAUUGAGAGGCAUAUGACUAUGAAGUCAACUGUUAUAUCAUGAUGUUUGUGGAUUGGCUGGCACUUGUUUUUACCUCUGUGCUUCCAUGUAAUACCCACAACAGAUGAUGGUGGUGUGGGGGUAGAGUUCUCAAUUGUGCGUUUCUUGUCUACAUCACAUUAAACUGCCAACAUCAUUGCAGUGAUCCUGAAGUUGUUGCGGGAGAAAGGAAAUAGUUUUUUUGCUUUCUGUUCAAUCAUUAUUGGUGGAUAUUGAUGGAAAUUGCUUGUCUGAUUUUUACUGCUGAUGUGUUCUGAAUUCGUAAUGUAAAGCUGGCCAGGAUACAAUUUCUGAGUGUGGCUUCAGCCUUCUGCACUUUAAAUGGGCUUGGCACAAGUGUUUUAGCCCAUAUCUGCGGACAUCAACAUAUCAUGAAGAUGAGCUCAGAUUGCCUCUAGCAAUUGUUUCACAGUGGAUGAAAGCCAUUAACCAGUGUGCUUGGUUGCUGCUAGUUCUGGAAAAGUACUGUGGUUCUCUGGCUCUUGUGAGAAUGUAGAAUAUCCUAAUGCCCUGCGGAUAGUAUGUGAUUCCUGAUUUGGAAAGUGAAGUUGCAAAAGAGAUCGGGGUCCUAAAAUGAUCCAGAGGCUGAUCCUGUUGAAGGGGAGAAAAAGGUAGAGUUUUCUGUGCAAUUCUGGGGGAAGGUGCUUAGCCUCUUUGGUGAAUGGUGAGGAUUUUAAGCCAUCGCCGAUCAGGUAAAUUUACAGAUUGUAAAUUUGUUGCAGUUCAAACUGACUACUGAUCUGGACUUUCAGUUGCAUUUUAUCUUGUGGUUUUUUAAAUGAAAUCAUAUUUUUUGUUGAUCUUAUUCAGUUUUUAUAUAUGUAUCCAUGGUGGUGGAAAUAUUGCUGUAUUGCUCUUCGGACUCUAGUUAUUGCCACUGAAAUUGUAAACGAGCAUAUAUCAUCUGGUUCCAUUGGAGACUUA
Molecule: RNA transcript, 6367 nt
Organism: Mangifera indica (mango)
Lineage: Eukaryota; Viridiplantae; Streptophyta; Magnoliopsida; Sapindales; Anacardiaceae
Gene name: lysine-specific histone demethylase 1 homolog 3-like
Exons: 10
Source: RefSeq, a predicted model, not a curated record